This 1278-nucleotide ribosomal RNA is filed under the name uncultured Sebacina. RNAcentral describes it as "eukaryotic LSU rRNA". The stretch from base 603 to 1278 matches the Rfam family "Eukaryotic large subunit ribosomal RNA", at positions 1 to 655 of the family's 3401-position model. The record is from RNAcentral. Lineage: Eukaryota; Fungi; Basidiomycota; Agaricomycetes; Sebacinales; Sebacinaceae.
AGAGGAAGUAAAAGUCGUAACAAGGUUUCCGUAGGUGAACCUGCGGAAGGAUCAUUAAUGAAACUUCAAAGUCGGCCAAAGGUUGUUGCUGGUGAUUAUUCACAUGUGCACGCCUUUGGUCGCAAAUCCACACACACCUGUGCAUCUAUGACUCGAGGUUGUAAUGACUGAGAGUAACUUUUAUACACUCUUGUAUGUAAUGGAAUGUCUUUUUGUGCUAUAAUGUACAAUAUAAACAACUUUCAACAACGGAUCUCUUGGCUCUCGCAUCGAUGAAGAACGCAGCGAAAUGCGAUAAGUAAUGUGAAUUGCAGAAUUCAGUGAAUCAUCGAAUCUUUGAACGCACCUUGCACCCUUUGGUAUUCCGAAGGGUACGCCCGUUUGAGUGUCAUUGUAAUCUCACUUCUACAACUUUAUUGUUGUUUGAAUGUGGACUUGGAUGUUGCCGUUUUAUCACAGCUCGUCUUAAAUGCCUGAGUGUACCCUGUUUUGCAGCGUAUCCAGUGUAAUAAACAUUUCACUAGAGUUGGUCGAAAGACCGCGUUGACUAUAUGGGCUCUAUGCUUCAAACCGUCUGCCAUGUGGACAAUUUCUUGACAAUUUGACCUCAAAUCGGGUGGGACUACCCGCUGAACUUAAGCAUAUCAAUAAGCGGAGGAAAAGAAACUAACAAGGAUUCCCCUAGUAACGGCGAGUGAAGAGGGAAAAGCUCAAAUUUUAAAUCUGGUGUCUUUGACUCCCGAGUUGUAAUCUAGAGAAGUGUUUUCCGUGUCGGACCGUGUACAAGUUCCCUGGAACGGGGCGUCAUAGAGGGUGAGAAUCCCGUAUAUGCCACGGACUACCGAUGCUCUGUGAUACACUCUCAACGAGUCGAGUUGUUUGGGAAUGCAGCUCAAAAUGGGUGGUAAAUUCCAUCUAAAGCUAAAUAUUGGCGAGAGACCGAUAGCGAACAAGUACCGUGAGGGAAAGAUGAAAAGCACUUUGGAAAGAGAGUGAAACAGUACGUGAAAUUGUUGAAAGGGAAGCGUUUGAAGUCAGUCGCAUCUGUUGGGGUUCAGCCUGGCUUUUGCCUGGUGUAUUUCCUUUCCGAUGGGUCAGCAUCAGUUUCGACCGAGGGAAAAAGACAUUUGGAAUGUGGCUGUCUUCGGGCAGUGUUAUAGCCUUGUGUUGUAUGUCUCGGUUGGGACUGAGGAUUGCAGCGCGCCAUAAAUGGCCGGGGGUCGCUCCUCUCGACACGCGCUUAGGAUGCUGGCAUAAUGGCUUUAAGCGACCCGUCUU